GGGGAAUAUUGCACAAUGGGGGAAACCCUGAUGCAGCGACGCCGCGUGAGUGAUGAAGUAUUUCGGUAUGUAAAACUCUAUCAGCAGGGAAGAUAAUGACGGUACCUGACUAAGAAGCACCGGCUAAAUACGUGCCAGCAGCCGCGGUAAUACGUAGGGAGCAAGCGUUGUCCGGAUUUACUGGGUGUAAAGGGUGCGUAGGCGGCUUUGCAAGUCAGAUGUGAAAUCUAUGGGCUCAACCCAUAAACUGCAUUUGAAACUGUAGAGCUUGAGUGAAGUAGAGGCAGGCGGAAUUCCCCGUGUAGCGGUGAAAUGCGUAGAGAUGGGGAGGAACACCAGUGGCGAAGGCGGCCUGCUGGGCUUUAACUGACGCUGAGGCACGAAAGCGUGGGUAGCAAACAGGAUUAGAUACCCUGGUAGUCCACGCUGUAAACGAUGAUUACUAGGUGUGGGGGGUCUGACCCCUUCCGUGCCGGAGUUAACACAAUAAGUAAUCCACCUGGGGAGUACGGCCGCAAGGUUGAAACUCAAAGGAAUUGACGGGGGCCCGCACAAGCAGUGGAGUAUGUGGUUUAAUUCGAAGCAACGCGAAGAACCUUACCAGGUCUUGACAUCCAACUAACGAAGUAGAGAUACAUUAGGUGCCCUUCGGGGAAAGUUGAGACAGGUGGUGCAUGGUUGUCGUCAGCUCGUGUCGUGAGAUGUUGGGUUAAGUCCCGCAACGAGCGCAACCCUUGCUAUUAGUUGCUACGCAAGAGCACUCUAAUAGGACUGCCGUUGACAAAACGGAGGAAGGUGGGGACGACGUCAAAUCAUCAUGCCCCUUAUGACCUGGGCUACACACGUACUACAAUGGAUGUUAACAGAGGGAAGCAAGACAGCGAUGUGGAGCAAACCCCUAAAAACAUUCUCAGUUCAGAUUGCAGGCUGCAACCCGCCUGCAUGAAGAUGGAAUUGCUAGUAAUCGCGGAUCAGCAUGCCGCGGUGAAUACGUUCCCG
RNAcentral lists this ribosomal RNA (999 nucleotides) under uncultured organism. Its description in RNAcentral is "bacterial SSU rRNA". It matches the Rfam family "Bacterial small subunit ribosomal RNA", at positions 356 to 1376 of the family's 1533-position model. The record is from RNAcentral.